UACGAAGGGGGCUAGCGUUGCUCGGAAUCACUGGGCGUAAAGCGCACGUAGGCGGACUCUUAAGUCGGUGGUGAAAUCCUGGAGCUCAACUCCAGAACUGCCUUUGAUACUGAAGAUCUUGAGUUCGGGAGAGGUGAGUGGAACUGCGAGUGUAGAGGUGAAAUUCGUAGAUAUUCGCAAGAACACCAGUGGCGAAGGCGGCUCACUGGCCCGAUACUGACGCUGAGGCACGAAAGCGUGGGGAGCAAACAGG
RNAcentral lists this ribosomal RNA (253 nucleotides) under uncultured bacterium. RNAcentral's name for it is "partial 16S ribosomal RNA". It matches the Rfam family "Bacterial small subunit ribosomal RNA", at positions 524 to 776 of the family's 1533-position model. The record is from RNAcentral.